GACGAACGCUGGCGGCGUGCUUAACACAUGCAAGUCGAACGAAGAGCGACGGAAGCUUGCUUCUAUCAAUCUUAGUGGCGAACGGGUGAGUAACGCGUAAUCAACCUGCCCUUCAGAGGGGGACAACAGUUGGAAACGACUGCUAAUACCGCAUACGAUCUAACCUCGGCAUCGAGGAUAGAUGAAAGGUGGCCUCUACAUGUAAGCUAUCACUGAAGGAGGGGAUUGCGUCUGAUUAGCUAGUUGGAGGGGUAACGGCCCACCAAGGCGACGAUCAGUAGCCGGUCUGAGAGGAUGAACGGCCACAUUGGGACUGAGACACGGCCCAGACUCCUACGGGAGGCAGCAGUGGGGAAUCUUCCGCAAUGGACGAAAGUCUGACGGAGCAACGCCGCGUGAGGGAUGACGGCCUUCGGGUUGUAAAGCUCUGUUAAUCGGGACGAAAGGCCUUCUUGCGAAUAGUGAGAAGGAUUGACGGUACCGGAAGAGAAAGCCACGGCUAACUACGUG
Molecule: ribosomal RNA, 510 nt
Filed under: uncultured bacterium
Lineage: Bacteria
Description: partial 16S ribosomal RNA
Rfam family: Bacterial small subunit ribosomal RNA
Source: RNAcentral